RNAcentral lists this long non-coding RNA (219 nucleotides) under Lathyrus oleraceus (garden pea). Its description in RNAcentral is "Pisum sativum (pea) long non-coding RNA (PSAT_LNC022885)". Lineage: Eukaryota; Viridiplantae; Streptophyta; Magnoliopsida; Fabales; Fabaceae. The record is from RNAcentral.
UAAAAACAUAAAUAAUUAACAUUAACUGAAAAUAUAAAUUUGUUCAUGGGGGACAAAACACCCCAAUAGUACAACACCAAAAUCAAGAUACAAAAUCCGAAAAUACAAAUAGAAAUGACAUAAAAGCUGAAAAAAUACAAAAACUUAACCCACUAAGGGCUCAGGACUCCUCCUCGCUACCGGCCUCAGAACCGGUAGCCUCAUCAUCAACAUCAUCAU